This 2002-nucleotide long non-coding RNA is filed under the name Homo sapiens (human). Its description in RNAcentral is "HSALNT0242195". Lineage: Eukaryota; Metazoa; Chordata; Mammalia; Primates; Hominidae. The record is from RNAcentral.
UCUUAUCCUGGGAGAGCCCCUGGUUUGACAGGAGAGGCCAGCCCCUGCCUUUUGGGACUUCCUAGUCUGUUGGGUAAGACACCGUCCCUACCCUAGGAUAAUUUCUACCCUUAGAUGCAAAGAGAACCACCAGACAAUGGAAUAAGAAAGCAGAACACAGUGUAAUUCUCAAGCACGAAUAUAGUUUAGGUUUGGCAAGAGAACUAGGGGAGACCCGGAGUGAAUGCCACACCCAGGAUGGCCAUGGGAAUGGAAAGCCAAACACCUCUCCAGGGUACACUGAUGAUGACAUGCCACGAUGUUACUUGCAUUCUGAGGCCCCCUCCUGGGUGUGGAUAAUUUGGAAUCAGUUAAAAGGGAGUCUUGAUGCGUGGAUUUGGGUCCCCAAACUGCCACCUCCUUUGGCUCUUUCCUGACCCUGAAGAGAACCUGACCCGGAUGUACCAAGACCUUGCCGGAAGCCUCUAGCCAGAGCAGCUGGCCCUGGACUCCCACUGGGACACUGACUGGGAGAUUCUUAGAGCACUGAACGAUUGGCCCUCCACCUUCCCAGCGGCUCUUUGGGAAAAGAUGCCCAUUGCAUGAAGCGGGGCCUCUCAAGGAGGAGCCCCAGGUCACCUGUUGCAACAGAAUCGCCUGGGAGCUCCAAGGCCCAGCCCCAACCCAUACCCAAUGAGUCUGAAUCUCCAGGAGGUGCCCAGACAUCUGCACAUCCAGCAGGUUCCCAGCUUCACAUUGUAAGGCUCCACCUCUUUCCACCCCCAGGAUCUUCAGGGGCACAGUAAAGUGUCCACCAUGAGCUGCCUUCACCCCAGCCCUUGGGACCAUGUGGGGACCGGGUGGGAACUCUGGGCUCCUGUGACACUCAGACCAAGCCCCUCACAUUGCAGGGGCCCUGCUCAGCAUCCUGGAGGGGAGCAACCCUUCUGGGACCAGGAAAACCCAAUUUUGUCCUCCAUUUCUGUUCCUCCUGGGGGCUGUGAACCUCAGGCAGGGUCCCUCGGUCUGGGUCCCGUAUGAACUCCUCUUCACCUUUCUGGCCAGGUUAUCAGAAUGGGCAGGGUUGUAAGUGGUUCAGAGUUUGAGCUCUGGGGUCAGGCGGAGCCGAGUUCAGCCUUGGCACAUUCCCCUGCACCAGCCCGUGCCCUGGGGUGAACCCCUGGGCUCCCUUGGCCUCUUCUCAGCUCCUCACUGUGUCCCACCCCUCUGCCAUCUCCUCUUCUCCCCUCCAGCUAUGGGACGAUCUGUCCCGAGUUCACUUUCUUCUUUUCUAUUUCCUACUCCCAUGUCCCCAAACACAUCCCGCCCUACAGUUCCCCACCUCCAGGCCCUGCACGGGCCCUUUGCUCUGUUUGGCAUGCUCCUGCCCUCCUGCAUCCUGGCAGUCUAAACUUUAAGUGAGACCUGCAUGGAGCAGGGAGACUGGCCAGAAGUCUUAAUUAACUUCAAAAUUUAAAGCUGGAAGAGAGGGAUAUGAUUUGGCUCUGUGUCCCCACCCAAAUCUGAUGUCGAAUUGUAAUUCCCAAUGUUGGGGGAGGGACCUGGUGGGAGGUGAUUGGAUCGUGGGGGCAGAUUCCCCCCCUUCGUGUUCUUGUGAUAGUGAGUGAGUUCUCAUGAGAUCUGUUUGCUUAAAAGUGUGUAGCAUCUCCCCCUUUGCUCUCUCUCUCCUGCUGCUAUGUGAAGAUGUGGUUGCUUCCCCUUCACCUACCACCAUGGUUAUGUUUCCUGAGGCCUCCCAGCCAUGCUUCCUGCAUAGCCUGUGGAACUGUGAGUCAAUUAAAUCUGUUUUCUUCAUAAAUUACCCAGCCUCAGGUAGUUCUUUAUGGUAGUGUGAGAACAGACUAACACAGAGAGUUUUAAAUUCUUUAGUUGUAGGCCUUUGCCCAGGAUGGAGUAGCAGGGACUGUAUUUCCUUCCCCUUCAAAACUUUCAGACAGCUGGAGAGGAUAUAUGGAACAUCAGUUUCAAGGUACUGGACAUCAGGCAAUGAAGGAAAGAAAUU